UAAAGCGUGCGCAGGCGGUUAUAUAAGACAGAUGUGAAAUCCCCGGGCUCAACCUGGGAACUGCAUUUGUGACUGUAUAGCUAGAGUACGGUAGAGGGGGAUGGAAUUCCGCGUGUAGCAGUGAAAUGCGUAGAUAUGCGGAGGAACACCGAUGGCGAAGGCAAUCCCCUGGACCUGUACUGACGCUCAUGCACGAAAGCGUGGGGAGCAAACAGGAUUAGAUACCCUGU
This 230-nucleotide ribosomal RNA is filed under the name uncultured bacterium. RNAcentral describes it as "partial 16S ribosomal RNA". It matches the Rfam family "Bacterial small subunit ribosomal RNA", at positions 561 to 790 of the family's 1533-position model. The record is from RNAcentral.